UCUAAUGACUUCUAACAAAUUACACUGGUACACUUUUAGUACUUGUACUUAUCUAAAACACGAUUGGAAAUUUCACUAUAGCCAAAACUGAUUCUUUCUCUCAAAAACCGUCCGUGUAUCUGCAGGAUAAGAUAAACGAUAUAGUUAAACAAUUUAUCAAGACGAGUCUCAAUACUGUUUAUAAAUGCGUUUCACUCUAACCUAACCUGUAACCUAGUUUGAUUUUAUCGAUAUAUUAUAUUGUCCGGUAUUUUUUUUUUUUGAAUAACACAAUAAACACAUCCGCAGUGAAAACUGAUUUAUAUACCUGUAAAUAUAAAGAAAAAAAUAAUAGCGAUAAAUUAGAUACUAAUCGCAAUCUUGUAAAUAAAAAACAAAUGAUAAUAAUAAUAAUAAAAACCCGUAUUUACAAUGAUCUAACAUGCGCAAAUGUCAAAAGAAAACUUUUAAAUUGAAAACUUUUUUUCACAAAAAUGUCUAUAGCAGAGUAUGCACGACAUAAUAUAGAUAGAUAUAUAUGGGUAUUUUUUUUUUCAUUCUGAUGCAAUAGCGGUUUGACGUUAUUUUUCAAUAUUAACAACUGCGGUCUUCGGCUGCUAAGAAAUUGCAUUUGUCUUGGAGAAAUAAUACGAACCCAACCGAGUGUUAAUUGUUUUGAAUUUGACAUCGGAAUAACUUGUAAAUUAUAUAUAUAUAUAUAGCAUUUCCGUGCUUUUUCAUAAACCUCACUCGACGAGCUAUAAGUUCUACGGACAUGUUAUUCGCGUAACCGAGUUUGGAAAUGAAAUUUCAAAAAUCACAUCCCAACGUGUACAAUACAAAAUACACGCGGUUAAGAACUUCGUCGGCAUCGAGGAUUAUGCGAAUACGCGGACGUGGCGUAUACACAAUUAUUUUUACGUUAAAUCCACCGUUAAAAAUAAUAUCGUAGAGACCUGACAUUUUACCGAAUUUUUAUCUAGGCAUGGUAAACAAUCAAAAUAUGUUUGCGAUUUCUAAGUUAUUUAUGCAAGAGCGUUUGAAAUGUUUUAGGUUUUUUUUUUUUUUUUUGGUUUUAUGUAGGUAGAUUAAAUUUGUCGAUUCGGCUAAAAUGUUUGAAAAUAUCACGUGAGGUUUGUCAUCACAAGUUGAACUUAGGGGUAAAUUAAACAAAUUUAGCGUAAUACAGUAGGUACCAAGUCUUUUUUUUAUAAGCUUUUUUAUAAGUUCAAAUUUGAAUGAAAAUCAUAGUAAUCGCGAAAUUUCAAAACAUUUCAAUCGAACUUCAGAAUAAU
Molecule: non-coding RNA, 1274 nt
Organism: Cinara cedri
Lineage: Eukaryota; Metazoa; Arthropoda; Insecta; Hemiptera; Aphididae
Source: the annotation of a GenBank genome assembly